GACGAACGCUGGCGGCAUGCCUAAUACAUGCAAGUCGAGCGAACAGACGAAGUGCUUGCACUUCUGACGUUAGCGGCGAACGGGUGAGUAACACGUAAGGAAUCUACCUAUAAGCGGGGGAUAACAUUUGGAAACGGGUGCUAAUACCGCAUAAUAUCUUCUUCCGCAUGGAAGAAGAUUGAAAGACGGCUCUGCUGUCACUUAUAGAUGACCUUGCGGUGCAUUAGUUAGUUGGUGGGGUAACGGCCUACCAAGACGAUGAUGCAUAGCCGACCUGAGAGGGUGAUCGGCCACAUUGGGACUGAGACACGGCCCAAACUCCUACGGGAGGCAGCAGUAGGGAAUCUUCCGCAAUGGGCGAAAGCCUGACGGAGCAAUGCCGCGUGAGUGAAGAAGGCCUUCGGGUCGUAAAACUCUGUUAUAAGAGAAGAACAAAUUGUAGAGUAACUGCUACAGUCUUGACGGUAUCUAAUCAGAAAGCCACGGCUAACUACGUGCCAGCAGCCGCCGUAA
This 513-nucleotide ribosomal RNA is filed under the name uncultured bacterium. Its description in RNAcentral is "partial 16S ribosomal RNA". It matches the Rfam family "Bacterial small subunit ribosomal RNA", at positions 28 to 523 of the family's 1533-position model. The record is from RNAcentral.